Paramuricea clavata is the source of this 287-nucleotide non-coding RNA. NCBI's taxonomy places the organism in Eukaryota, Metazoa, Cnidaria, Anthozoa, Malacalcyonacea, Plexauridae. The record is from the annotation of a GenBank genome assembly.
AAUUGUAUCUUUUCAUAUUCCAAUGUUAUUUCAUUUAAUACUAUACAAUAAUAGUCCAUUCAUUUACUAAGUUUUAAAAAUAUGACACCAUUAGUUAUUAUAGCUGUUAUACAAUUGCUAUGUUAAUUUUAUUAAUGUUUCGUACAUAAAUCAAUACAUCCAUUUUAUGAGCAAUAUGGUAUUGACAAUGGGUAUUGAAAUGAAAGAAGCAAACAGGAUCAGCUGCAAUGAAACUGAAAAGAAAACAAAGUGAUAGCAAGAUCAGCAGCUGCUGUUGUGUAGGUGAC